UCCGAUUUACUGACCGCCAUCGACCGCGCCCACAGCCUCGCCGCCAACGGCGGCUCCGCCAUGGCCGCCCGCGACGCCCCCUCCUCCGAGUCGACUCUCCUCGACGCCGCCGCCGACGCCGCCGCCGCCGCCCACCUCGGGGACCCACCCGCGCCCCUCGCCGCCGCCGCCAGGACCGUCGACGACGUGUGGCGGGAGAUCGUCGCGGGCCAGAGGGUGGAGUGCAAGGAGGAAAUGCCGGACGAGAUG
RNAcentral lists this long non-coding RNA (249 nucleotides) under Eucalyptus grandis. Its description in RNAcentral is "long non-coding RNA (EGRA_LNC003780)". The record is from RNAcentral. Lineage: Eukaryota; Viridiplantae; Streptophyta; Magnoliopsida; Myrtales; Myrtaceae.